AUGCUUACCUGGACGACACCAAUGAGUGAUCAAGAGGCUCAUGGUGUAGGCUAGUGACUUUCAUUGCACCUGGGAGGGGUGUUGCUCUAAGGUUUGUCCAAGUGACAAAUCUUAUGUCAUAAUUUGUGGUAGAGAGGGUUUGCAUUCGCGCAACCCUGUA
Molecule: non-coding RNA, 160 nt
Organism: Phaseolus vulgaris (common bean)
Lineage: Eukaryota; Viridiplantae; Streptophyta; Magnoliopsida; Fabales; Fabaceae
Source: Rfam